This 1729-nucleotide long non-coding RNA is filed under the name Citrus x clementina. RNAcentral describes it as "Citrus clementina (C. clementina) long non-coding RNA (CCLE_LNC000820)". The record is from RNAcentral. Lineage: Eukaryota; Viridiplantae; Streptophyta; Magnoliopsida; Sapindales; Rutaceae.
AAAAAAAGAAGUUUGAAUCAUUGAAUAAAUAAAAUAAGAGUAAUAAACACUGCUCUCAUAUUGCAUGCAUUUGUCCUUUUAUGGAAGAUCGUCCAAAUAGGAUGUACCCACAUGCUUAGAUUUUCAUGGAAAGUCUCCAAAAAAAUCCUCACAACUUUUCAAUUUUUUGACUAACAUGAAGCAUCAAUGCAUCAUCACCUUCUCUCUCUGAUCAUCAUCGUAUCAAUGGGGUCAUUUUCUCUCUGAUAGUAUAAGAAGUGGCAGAAAAGAUCAAUUGUUUGGCAAUUGGACUAAAAGUACAUAAAAUAUUAUGCAAAUUGAACGAUCAUGAUUAUGGGUCCUAUGAAUUAUGAAUUUGUAUGACAAUAGUAGGUUUUGCAAAAAUUGGUUUUGUGGACCCCUUAUCUCUGCAAUUUAUAUUAUAAUGUAUGAUGAGAAUAUUUUUUAAGACAAAAAAAAAAAGAAAAAUCAAUGGAAGUAGAUGACAUAAACCAUGACAUGUAUUUGGUUGUCUCCAUCAUAUUGUUAUUGGGUAGUGAUUAAGAGUUUGUGGGUCCAUUUUGAGGUCACUUUGUAAAUAUGUUUAUAAAGAUUAGUUGAGAUUACAAUGCAAUAAUGAAGAUUAGUAACAGCAAUUGCACAUAUUUUAUCAAAAGAAAAGUAUGCAAUUCAAUAUUAGGUUGAAUUCCAAUUCAUAAUUAACUUAACUGGAGUAUGAUUUAGUUUCAAGUGGGUAAGCAUGAUCUUAUCUAAAAUCAAUAAGAUGAUUUCAACUCCAUCACAUAUUAUGAAAGUUUAAUUGAUUUUAAUCAUAUAAAUUAAAGUCCAUCAAAAUCGAUGAUCAAUUUAUGUUGAAUUGACCAACUUAUAAGUUAUAACAAAAGUCUCUUACAGUAUUUAUAACUGACCCUACUAUUAUUUAAUAUAUUUGAAAAGAAGUACUAAAAGACUAAUUCAAUAAAAUAACUUGAAGCAUGACACACUACCAUUUUUUUUAAUGGUACCAAGUUGAACAUUUUAGCAAAACUUUAAUAAAACAUAAUUAAUUAAUAAGGUUAGUUGUUGAAUUGUUGCCACACACAACUAAAAAUUAUAAUACCAAAUAUUUGAAAAAUAUGGCAAAAGAUUUAUGAAAUUUUGUUGCUCCAAACAAACAAAAAUGAUAUAAUAUAUAUAACUCACAUUGUUUAGCUUGCAAGAUAAAGCAAAAUGCAAUAAUUAAUUAAUGAGAUCCGUUACCGACCCUCUAUUAGCUGAAAAUUGAAGGAACUGGGCAGACUAGUAAUUAAGUAGAAGUGGAGGGGCAACAAGAGAAACGAGGAAGUAAAAGCUGCCUGGGAUCGGAACUUUGACGUAGUAAGUAGGGGCUUGAUGAAUGGAUACGAUAGCAGGGUGAGAGGAGGACACGUGUCAUUGGAUUCCGUGAAAAGUGAAGAUGAAAUCUAAGGUAAAUAAUAAUAAAUUAAAAAGAAGAGAUGUGAUUGGCUGACAAGGCGUGAUAUCCCAAGAUUCACUCUCAUCCCUACGUAUGAUUUCGUAAGUGGGUUUCUGAUUUCCUGACACAAAGCUUCGGCCUUAGUCUUCCGAUGAGAAAAUGAGCGAAACCCCUUCCCCCAACCUUUGUCUUUUAAAUUAACAAAAUGGAUCGAAUCCUAAAACCUUCCAAGUACAGAUUUUAAUAAAAUAUGAAAAUAUUAAUAACUAAUAACAAAGCAUAAAUUUUAACAUA